AGAGUUUGAUCGCGGCGUGAAUUGAACGCUGGCGGCAUGCUUAACACAUGCAAGUCGAACGGCAGAGCGGGGUUAUGCUUCUCUGGCGGCGAGUGGCGGACAGGUGAGUAAUGCGUAGGAAUCUACCUUAUAGAGGGACAACCCGGGGAAACUCAGGCUAAUACCGCAUGAUCUCUAUGGAGUAAAGCAGGGGAUCUUCUGACCUCGCGCUAUAAGAUGAGCUAUGUCGGAUUAGCUUGUUGGUCAAGUGAUGCCUACCAAGGCGACGAUCGUAGCUGGUCUGAGAGGAUGAUCAAAGUUUGAACACGGCCCAGACUCCUACGGGAGGCAGCAGUGGGGAAUCUUGGACAAUAAAACCCUGAUCCAGCAAUGCCGCGUGUGUGAAGAAGGCCCUCGGGUUGUAAAGCACUUUCGUGGGGAAGAAAUUCUCAAGGUAAUAUACUUGAGCGUUGACGUUACCUACAGAAGAAGCACUGGCUAACUCUGUGCCAGCAGCCGCAGUAAUACAGAGAGUGCGAGCGUUAAUCGGAAUCACUGGGCGUAAAGAGCGCGUAGGUGGAUAUUUAAGUCGGAUGUAGAAAGCCCACAGAAGCAACACAGGAACUGCGCACUCGAUACUGGAUAUCUCCAGUAUGGUAGAGGGGAAGUGGAAUUUUCGGUGUAGCGGUGAAAUGCGUAGAUAUCGGAAAGAACACCAGUGGCGAAGGCGGCUUCCUGGACCAAUGCGACGCACUGAGGUGCGGCGUGGGGAGCAAACAGGAUUAGAGACCUGGUAGUCACGCCGUCAACGAUGAGAACUAGCUAUUGGAGGAUUUACUUUCUAGUGGCGAAGCUAACGUUAAGUUCUCCGCCGCAGGAUACGGCCGCAAGGUUAAAACUCAAAGAAAUUGACGGGGGCCCGCACAAGCGGUGGAGCAUGUGGUUUAAUUCGAUGCAACACUGAAAAACCUUACCUACCCUUGACAUCCUCAGAACUUGUCAGAAAUGACCUGGUGCCUUCCGGGAACUGAGUGACAGGUGCUGCAUGGCUGUCGUCAGCGCUCGUGUCGUGAGAUGUUGGGUUAAGUCCGUAACGAGCGCAGCCCUCGUCAGCAGUUGCCAGCGAGUUCAGUCGGGAACUCUAAGGAGACUGCCGGUGAUAAACCGGAGGAAGGUAGGAUGAUGUCAAGUCAUCAUGGCCCUUACGGAGUAGAGCUACACACGUGCUACAAUGGGCAGUACAAAGGGUUGCCGACCAUAAAGGUGGAGCCAAUCCCAAAAAACUGCUCUUAGUCCGGAUUGAAGUCACCCGAAAGCUCGACUUCAUGAAGCUGGAAUCGCUAGCAAUCGCGAAUCAGAAUGUCGCGGUGAAUACGUUCUCGGGCCUUGUACACACCGCCCGUCACACCAUGGGAGUGAAUUGUACCAGAAGCGGGUAGGCUAACCUUC
RNAcentral lists this ribosomal RNA (1428 nucleotides) under uncultured Coxiella sp. Its description in RNAcentral is "bacterial SSU rRNA". It matches the Rfam family "Bacterial small subunit ribosomal RNA". The record is from RNAcentral. Lineage: Bacteria; Pseudomonadati; Pseudomonadota; Gammaproteobacteria; Legionellales; Coxiellaceae.